CGUGCCUAAUACAUGCAAGUCGAACGAACUUCCGUUAAUUGAUUAUGACGUGCUUGCACUGAAUGAGAUUUUAACACGAAGUGAGUGGCGGACGGGUGAGUAACACGUGGGUAACCUGCCCAGAAGCAGGGGAUAACACCUGGAAACAGAUGCUAAUACCGUAUAACAGAGAAAACCGCCUGGUUUUCUUUUAAAAGAUGGCUCUGCUAUCACUUCUGGAUGGACCCGCGGCGCAUUAGCUAGUUGGUGAGGUAACGGCUCACCAAGGCGAUGAUGCGUAGCCGACCUGAGAGGGUAAUCGGCCACAUUGGGACUGAGACACGGCCCAGACUCCUACGGGAGGCAGCAGUAGGGAAUCUUCCACAAUGGACGCAAGUCUGAUGGAGCAACGCCGCGUGAGUGAAGAAGGGUUUCGGCUCGU
RNAcentral lists this ribosomal RNA (421 nucleotides) under Pediococcus acidilactici. RNAcentral describes it as "bacterial SSU rRNA". It matches the Rfam family "Bacterial small subunit ribosomal RNA", at positions 43 to 426 of the family's 1533-position model. The record is from RNAcentral. Lineage: Bacteria; Bacillati; Bacillota; Bacilli; Lactobacillales; Lactobacillaceae.